Molecule: long non-coding RNA, 4817 nt
Organism: Xiphophorus couchianus (Monterrey platyfish)
Lineage: Eukaryota; Metazoa; Chordata; Actinopteri; Cyprinodontiformes; Poeciliidae
Exons: 3
Source: RefSeq, a predicted model, not a curated record
UGCAAUAAAGCUGGACUGUAAACCAGAAUAGUAAAAUAUCCACUUCAGUUUAAUAAAUCUGUGCAGUUACUUCUAUAGCAACAGAAUAACAUUGGAGUAGCUUAUUUGCGUAUUUCUUAUUACUUUAGUGGGAAGCAUUAUUUAGUCUUUAAAACAAAUCCCUGGCUGCAGCUAACAUUUUUUCAGUCAUGAGGGUGACACAACUGGCCAAAGCAAACAUUUUAAAGCCAGGACGAGCUACACUUUUGGCCUGGCAACACAAGGCUGAUCUGGACGAAGACACUAUUCAAAAGAUGUGCCAAGGAUUAACUGAAAUUGCAGCCUGAGUGUGAUUUAUAAGCCAUUCUGCGUCAUUUGACUGUGACAGGCUCUGACAAAUUAAUAUGCCUUCAGCCCUCUCCACUACUCUUUAAGGUAAUGGUUCCAUUAGCAGAUGUUUUUCGACAUCCACUCAGAUGCCGUUGGUCCCUCAUGAGAAAGAUAUUUUUUAUGCUCCUCAUUAUCGUAAUGAUGUGAACAUAUCUGAUUUGGUAAGUUGUGCUGCCUCACAACAGUUACGAAACCGAAAAAAAGUGGAAAUGUGGAAGCAGAACAAUGAACUCAAAACACAUUUGAGUGAAAAGUUAAAGAUUUUAUUUGGUUAAAUGAUACAACCAGCUGCAUGUCUUCUUAAUACAUCAUAAAAACGCAAAGAUCUAAUUGCGAAAAGGCUGCUGCAUUUGAUCAAGUAUUGCAGGAUGACUACAUGUUGGAAUGCCAUAAAAUGAGAUAAUGCACUCAGAUUUUCUAAUCGUGUUCUCUUGAGCAUUUUGACAUAUAGGAAAAAAGUGCAAAUCAGAGAAAGUGACACCAUAGAUCAGGCCCUAAACUUUAUUUGACUCGGUGUGUACGAACUGAGGCAGUAAUGAGAUCCCGAUGCUUGUUUCCUCAGAUGCUGGACCUAGUAGCACCGAUCAUGAAAGUGACCGUGGGCCCCAAAGUCACAUCCGACAGUCCGUAAAAUGCUGGGAGGUUUUCUGGAGACACCUGUUCAACAGCUCUCAGGGGCCCAUGCAUAGGACCCACUGCGAAGGCCAAAAAUUGUAGGCCUGUGUGAAGUUAUUUGAUGUAAUGCCAUCACAGGGUACUUUUUCCAGCCCAUUAAAUCCCUAUAAAUACACUGGAGUCUGUGGAUGUGGAAAGGCUGAACCAGUAUGAACUAUGAAGUUUCUUGCAAUACACUGUCCAAUUUAAAUCUGCUACUUGGAGAAGAGGAAGGUGGGAAGGAUUGAUCUGAAACACACACGCAUUGACCACGUAUUGAAUGCAUGCUUAGCUUGUUGUGCUGCCUCUUGUGGCCAAAUGCAGCUAAACAAACACACAUUGCUCAUGCAGCUUGUUUUCUGCAUUACCAUCAUUAUAAACAUUAUUUUAUGGAGACAUUAAACUUAUGGAGACAGUUUGGAAGGUACAACUCAUCUUGUUUCCAUUUUUUAAUAUCUGAGUACUAAAAGGAGGCAAAAUAUUUCAAAUGUUAGAUUAUAAAAUCUUGACUUUAAAACCAGGAUUUUUGUUUAAGCACAAACAAGCACAGAUAUUUGAACACAAAAUUCUUUGUGUUUAAAAUUUUCAUUUGCUUUCACAGAUAACCAUUUGUGAUAUUUCCUCAUGCCUCUGGAUGGUAACAGAAACCUGCUCUUCCACCCAAAGAAGUCUUAUUUCUCACAUAGGAAGAAAAAGAUGGAAUAAUUCCUGUGCGCUCUGCCCCACAUGUACAGUGCAAAAAUAUAAAAAAUAUCAACAUAUAUUAAUCCUGGACAUGUGGAUUACUUACAUAUACAGGAGAUAUGUGAUUUUCUAAAAAAAAAAACAAUUUAAAAAGAAAAAAGUACAAAAUAAAGCCUCAAGUGCCAAUUGCACUGUUAAUACAGCCCUAAAUUUAAGCAGUUUAUUUGAUACAGAUCAGAGUAUAAACAAUUAAACAAUUAUUAAGUAUUAAACAAUUUCUUAUAUUCUUAAAUUAAAAUUAAAUAUAACUGUUUCAAUCUGAAUUAUUUCAAAGUGUGUAUUUUACUGGAGUUGUCAAAUGGGCCAAAUGUAAGCAUGACAAGAGAAAACUUAGCAGAAAUAACCAUCUUCAAACAGCUUGCCAUUAGUAUUUUCAUGAGGGGAUGUUCCAUUACAGCAGCACACAACAAGGCUGAAAAACUCAUCAGAGAUGUAAAAGGAUAUGGAAUGAUCACUUGUUUCCACUGCUGCUAAAUGAAGGGGAGUUUGCAGUCGUAGUCCCCCUCAUGAGGAGCAGAUUGCUCAUCCUUCCUCUACCGUUUUAAACCAGUGAACAUAUCACAUAGUGAACGCAAUACCUUCAUAUGUCAAAGAAAGUACACAUCAAAAUCACUAAUGCUUUAAAAAAAUAUUAAAAAGUUACACUGUUCAACAGUUGAUCUUUAACUAAAAUAUGCUGCUCACUGUAACCUUUUGCAAUUUUAAAACAUUUUCAUUUCUAAAACGUAUCAGGUCUGGGACAAAAGGAGGUUUAAAUGAUGUUGAACAUGGAAUGUUUGUUGAUGCUGGACAAAAACUACUGGAAUUUUUAUGCAAAACCACCACAACAGCAUCCAGAUGGUGUUUAUUAACAUGAAAGAAAGGAUUCAUUUGGCCUUUUAUUGAUGUUAGUCUGGGAUACUUUCAUACACACUUUGGGCCUUUUAGUGUAACUGAGCAAUACUUAAACACCUCAUGCUAUCUGCCCUAUUGUUGUGGAUCAUAGCCAUCUCUUUAUUACCACAGUGUACCCUUCUUCUGAUGGUUACUUCCUGCUGGAUAACACACCAUGAAACAAAGCUCCUUAAGCUUAUUUCUUGAACAAGACGACGGGUUCACCGAACCCCAGUGGUUUCCACAGCCACCAGCUUGCAGUCCAAUAGACACUUUUGGAUACGGCGGACUGGAGGAUGUGUAGCCAACAAAUCUGUGUCAGCUCUGUGAUGCUUCAACAUCACAGAGCUGACUCUCAAAGAAAUGUUUCAGACUCUAUUGAAUUGUGACACAAAGCAUUAAGGCAGUUCUGAAGCCUUAAUGGGGUCCAACCCUGUGCUAGAAAAAAGUAAAAAAUUUUGUUUUAGGAAUUUUGUUUUAAUUAUACCUAGAAUUAAAAUUAUUAAUUAAAAUAAUUUUUAAAAAGCAUUUAAACUUCUACCAAGCAUUUACAUUGAAAUUCAAAUCUAUAAUUGAUCUCAAAAUGUUUUAAAUAUUAAAUUAUUUAUUAAUCGUCAUCAAUGUGGUCUAAUUUCUGGUCAUUAACUCAUUAAGGCUUCAAUAGCUAAAAGGCAUUGCGACUAAUCCUCAUGGACUGCUUUGACCUCUCUGUUAUUUCAGGUGCAGGUUGUGUGUAACGGAGUGUCUGGCCUCAUACCGAAGUGUUUACAUUUGUCCAACCCUGUGACACUCUUCCAUAAGCCUGCAGGACACAGCAUAUUACGGCAGCCGUCAUUGUGCAGAAAAAAAAUCCAGGUCAAAUAUGCAGGACAUCAACUCGCAGCCCAACACCUCUGGCUUUUGGGAUAUGAGUGUGGCUCCAAAGCCUGGCAAAGCAAAGAAGCAUAGAUACUUUCCAAAUGACGAGAGAAACUCCUGCCAUGGAAUAAAUGGCUUUCGUUAUUCCAACUGACAGACUUACUUAUUUCCCAGAACUCUCGCCUCCAGCAGGACCUAAGAUCCUUUGUUCAGGAACAAUGUAAGUUUUCUUUUUUGAAAAAAAGAAACACUUUGAAACUAUAACAUUUUUUAUGUGGUCUUUUUCUCUCUAUCCUCUUACUUUUGUCUGUGUACAUUAUGAUUAAUACACAUCAACAAAAAACUGGGCAAGCUUUAAUUUUUCAACUUCGAUGAGGUCUCUGUCAAUGGCAUCCACUUACCCUAUACUCUGAGAGUCAUCUUUCUCUGACGCACCUUCGGACCAGCCAGUUUGCAGGAGGUUUUACGUUGUUUUAUAAUGCUCCCUGCUUGCUAAAUCCUCAUCUCAGCAGAAAAUGGUGGUUUGCUGUGUUAUGCACUGACAUCCUCUGGCAGUGCUUUAUGAACCACCAAGGAACGUGCUCUGGGCUUGAAACCAGCUGCCCCUGCCAGGGCCAUACACCGAGUCUUCGGUUUGUGCCACGUUGAUGUUUCCAAGAACCUCAACUUAAAUGUCUCUGACACAGCUACAAGAGCAAAAUUUGACUUACGUUUUUUCCUUAAUAACUUUUUCCCAUGUACUUACAAGCAUGUUCUUAACCCUUUUACUCUUUGUGAGGCACAACGAGGGAAAAUCACACAAUCAGAUUAAUAAAGGAACAAUGUAAGCUCAGUUAUACAUGAAGUCUAAAUCAGGGCAAUGUCUACUUUCUGAUUAAAUUUGUCAAAGGUCAUCUUUUCAUCACCAUUUGUUAGAAAAUCCCAACGCAGUGAACACUUUAAGAGAUAUCGCACUCUAAUCUCAAAUAUUGCUUUGGGGCUCCAGUCAAGGCAUUUUUUAAUUACAGGUUUCCAGGGGCGGACUGGAAAAUGAGGUUUAUCGAGGAUUUCCCUUCUGGGUUGGUGGUUUAGCUCAUGGUGGAGCUGUUGUGCUCGUCCCGCAGUCGCACAGCACAUUGUUGUUCUGCAGCGCCAUGAUGCUUCAAACUACAAUGCCAGAUCAAAUGAAUUCUCUUCCCCAGACCUCCAGCACAUUGCUGGAGGUGUAUCUACAGUCCAGUAACUUGCCAUCAUCAGUGUGGAAAUGUGUGUGAAUGGGAAUUACUGAUUUCAUUGCAAAGUGUCUUUGAGUGUCCUAAUAAAUCGCUAUAUAAAUCUGA